AUUGAACGCUGGCGGCAUGCUUUACACAUGCAAGUCGAACGGUAACAGGUUAAGCUGACGAGUGGCGAACGGGUGAGUAAUGCAUCGGAACGUGCCCGAUCGUGGGGGAUAACGCAGCGAAAGCUGCGCUAAUACCGCAUACGAUCUGAGGAUGAAAGCGGGGGACCGUAAGGCCUCGCGCGAUCGGAGCGGCCGAUGUCAGAUUAGGUAGUUGGUGGGGUAAAGGCGCACCAAGCCGACGAUCUGUAGCUGGUCUGAGAGGACGACCAGCCACACUGGGGCUGAGACACGGCCCAGACUCCUACGGGAGGCAGCAGUGGGGAAUUUUGGACAAUGGGCGAAAGCCUGAUCCAGCAAUGCCGCGUGCAGGAAGAAGGCCUUCGGGUUGUAAACUGCUUUUGUACGGAGCGAAAAGGCUCUCUCUAAUACAGGGGGCUCAUGACGGUACCGUAAGAAUAAGCACCGGCUAACUACGUGCCAGCCGCCGCUGUAA
RNAcentral lists this ribosomal RNA (493 nucleotides) under uncultured bacterium. RNAcentral describes it as "partial 16S ribosomal RNA". It matches the Rfam family "Bacterial small subunit ribosomal RNA", at positions 29 to 523 of the family's 1533-position model. The record is from RNAcentral.